UUUUUUUUUUUUUUUUUUUUUAGAGAGAAAAAAAUAGCUUGCUACCCGUUUCGUUUAUUUCAUUUAGAAAUAAACUUAGUCGGAGAUGUGAAUCAACUAAGAUUCGAACUUAGGUCUCGAGUACCAACCACUAAACCCUUUUGCCACUUGCGUUAGAGACGGUCCGUUAACCAUACUAUUUGUUGAUGAGCAUUGCCCCUUAUCUGAAAAAUUCUAGAAUGCAACCUGUAUAUUGGUGACGUGGUGUAAUAAACUAAUCAAAAAUCUCCUUUUAGAGAUAUAUGUCCCAUUAUAAUUAAAAAAAAAAUUUAUUGUACUUUUGUUUGAAAAGAAAAAAUGUGAUUGUCUUGUUAUUGAUGACAUUAUGCAAGUGUGAUAGUGUAGAAUUAAUUCCUCCCCUUAUCUUAUUAUUUUUUUCAAAAAAUUAAUAGCUAAAAUAA
This 440-nucleotide long non-coding RNA is filed under the name Ananas comosus (pineapple). RNAcentral's name for it is "long non-coding RNA (ACOM_LNC027503)". Lineage: Eukaryota; Viridiplantae; Streptophyta; Magnoliopsida; Poales; Bromeliaceae. The record is from RNAcentral.